This 65-nucleotide transfer RNA is filed under the name Anthocharis bambusarum. RNAcentral describes it as "tRNA-Ile". The record is from RNAcentral. Lineage: Eukaryota; Metazoa; Arthropoda; Insecta; Lepidoptera; Pieridae.
AAUAAAGUGCCUGACAAAAAGGAUUAUUCUGAUAGGAUAAAUUAUGUAAACUUUUACCUUUAUUA